Molecule: ribosomal RNA, 503 nt
Filed under: uncultured bacterium
Lineage: Bacteria
Description: partial 16S ribosomal RNA
Rfam family: Bacterial small subunit ribosomal RNA
Source: RNAcentral
AUUGAACGUUGGCGGCAGGCUUAACACAUGCAAGUCGAGCGGAGUGAUGGUGCUUGCACUAUCACUUAGCGGCGGACGGGUGAGUAAUGCUUAGGAAUCUGCCUAUUAGUGGGGGAUAACAUCUCGAAAGGGAUGCUAAUACCGCAUACGUCCUACGGGAGAAAGCAGGGGAUCACUUGUGACCUUGCGCUAAUAGAUGAGCCUAAGUCGGAUUCGCUAGUUGGUGGGGUAAAGGCCUACCAAGGCGACGAUCUGUAGCGGGUCUGAGAGGAAGAUCCGCCACACUGGGACUGAGACACGUCCCAGACUACUACGGGAGGCAGCAGUGGGGAAUAUUGGACAAUGGGGGGAAACCUGAUCCAGCCAUGCCGCGUAUGUGAAGAAGGCCUUAUGGUUGUAAAGCACUUUAAGCGAGGAGGAGGCUCUUUUGGUUAAUACCCAAGAUGAGUGGACGUUACUCGCAGAAUAAGCACCGGCUAACUCUGUGCCAGCCGCCGCGGUAA